AGCGAACGCUGGCGGCAGGCUUAACACAUGCAAGUCGAGCGGGCAUCUUCGGAUGUCAGCGGCAGACGGGUGAGUAACACGUGGGAACGUACCCUUCGGUUCGGAACAACUCUGGGAAACUGGAGCUAAUACCGGAUACGCCCUUAUGGGGAAAGGUUUACUGCCGUAGGAUCGGCCCGCGUCUGAUUAGCUAGUUGGUGGGGUAACGGCCUACCAAGGCGACGAUCAGUAGCUGGUCUGAGAGGAUGAUCAGCCACACUGGGACUGAGACACGGCCCAGACUCCUACGGGAGGCAGCAGUGGGGAAUAGUGGACAAUGGGGGCAAGCCUGAUCCAGCCAUGCCGCGUGAGUGAUGAAGGCCUUAGGGUUGUAAAGCUCUUUUGUCCGGGACGAUAAUGACGGUACCGGAAGAAUAAGCCCCGGCUAACUUCGUG
RNAcentral lists this ribosomal RNA (435 nucleotides) under uncultured bacterium. Its description in RNAcentral is "partial 16S ribosomal RNA". It matches the Rfam family "Bacterial small subunit ribosomal RNA", at positions 29 to 507 of the family's 1533-position model. The record is from RNAcentral.